CAAGUAUAGUUACCGUCUGUCUACCGAACAAUAUCCCCCGCUCGGUGGAAGAUCUUCCCUUUGCCCU
RNAcentral lists this microRNA precursor (67 nucleotides) under Bombyx mori (domestic silkworm). RNAcentral describes it as "mir-2774 microRNA precursor family". Lineage: Eukaryota; Metazoa; Arthropoda; Insecta; Lepidoptera; Bombycidae. The record is from Rfam by way of RNAcentral.